This 73-nucleotide transfer RNA is filed under the name Vicugna pacos (alpaca). Its description in RNAcentral is "tRNA-Ala (AGC) (tRNA-Ala-AGC-378-1)". It matches the Rfam family "tRNA". From Rfam's summary of the family: Transfer RNA (tRNA) molecules are approximately 80 nucleotides in length. Their secondary structure includes four short double-helical elements and three loops (D, anti-codon, and T loops). Further hydrogen bonds mediate the characteristic L-shaped molecular structure. tRNAs have two regions of fundamental functional importance: the anti-codon, which is responsible for specific mRNA codon recognition, and the 3' end, to which the tRNAs corresponding amino acid is attached (by aminoacyl-tRNA synthetases). tRNAs cope with the degeneracy of the genetic code in two manners: having more than one tRNA (with a specific anti-codon) for a particular amino acid; and 'wobble' base-pairing, i.e. permitting non-standard base-pairing at the 3rd anti-codon position. The record is from RNAcentral. Lineage: Eukaryota; Metazoa; Chordata; Mammalia; Artiodactyla; Camelidae.
GGAGGGUGUAGCUCAGUGGUAGAGUGCAUGCUUAGCAUGCAUGAGGUCCUGGGUCCAAUCCCCAGUACCUCCA